AUUCCAGCUCCAAUAGCGUAUAUUAAAGUUGUUGCAGUUAAAAAGCUCGUAGUUGGAUUUGUGGUGGUGCCUGCGGUCCAAAAUGUUUUGGUGCUGUCGGGCACUGCCAUCCUUGGGUGGAACCUGUGGGGCAUUAGGUUGUUUUGCAGGGGAUGCCCAUCGUUUACUGUGAAAAAAUUAGAGUGUUCAAAGCAGGCUUACGCCGUUGAAUAUAUUAGCAUGGAAUAAUGAGAUAGGACUCUGGUGCUAUUUUGUUGGUUUGCGCACCGAAGUAAUGAUUAAUAGGGACAGUUGGGGGUAUUCGUAUUCCAUUGUCAGAGGUGAAAUUCUUGGAUUUCUGGAAGACGAACUACUGCGAAAGCAUUUACCAAGGAUGUU
RNAcentral lists this ribosomal RNA (378 nucleotides) under Caloneis fontinalis. Its description in RNAcentral is "SSU rRNA". It matches the Rfam family "Eukaryotic small subunit ribosomal RNA", at positions 582 to 968 of the family's 1831-position model. The record is from RNAcentral. Lineage: Eukaryota; Bacillariophyta; Bacillariophyceae; Sellaphorales; Pinnulariaceae.